This 253-nucleotide ribosomal RNA is filed under the name uncultured bacterium. RNAcentral describes it as "partial 16S ribosomal RNA". It matches the Rfam family "Bacterial small subunit ribosomal RNA", at positions 524 to 776 of the family's 1533-position model. The record is from RNAcentral.
GACGAGCCACACGAACGUUAUUCGGAAUUACUGGGCUUAAAGGGUGCGUAGGCUGUGCGGAAAGUUGGGUGUGAAAUACCUCAGCUUAACUGAGGAAUUGCGCCCAAAACUACCGUGCUCGAGGGAGACAGAGGUAAGCGGAACUUAGGGUGGAGCGGUGAAAUGCGUUGAUAUCCUAAGGAACACCGGUGGCGAAAGCGGCUUACUGGUUCUCUUCUGACGCUGAGGCACGAAAGCUAGGGUAGCGAACGGG